GACAGAGGUGCCAAGCGUUAGGCGGAAUCACUGGGCUUAAAGCGUGUGUAGGUGGAUCGUUAAGUGCCUUGUGAAAUCCCACGGCUCAACCGUGGAACUGCUUGGCAUACUGGCGGUCUUGAGCCAUUCAGGGGCUACUGGAACAAACGGUGGAGCGGUGAAAUGCGUAGAUAUCGUUUGGAACGCCAAAGGUGAAAACAGGUAGCUGGGGAUGUGCUGACACUGAGACACGAAAGCCAGGGGAGCAAACGGG
Molecule: ribosomal RNA, 253 nt
Filed under: uncultured bacterium
Lineage: Bacteria
Description: partial 16S ribosomal RNA
Rfam family: Bacterial small subunit ribosomal RNA
Source: RNAcentral